This 28-nucleotide non-coding RNA is filed under the name Rattus norvegicus (Norway rat). Lineage: Eukaryota; Metazoa; Chordata; Mammalia; Rodentia; Muridae. The record is from RNAcentral.
GAGGUCUAAAACUACCUUAAAGGGCAAU